AUUGUGAUUAACUCCCUCAUCCAUUCACGCCGAACCCGGAAGUGAGAAUCGGUUGUCACGUGACGUGCUUGUUGCGUGAGUGAACGUGGUUACUAAGGAACCAAUAUAAACAUUGUACGAUCGACCUCAUAGUAGUCCGUGCAGUGUGUAGAUGUGAAGUAUGUGUGGCUAUUUCUUAUUUCCAUAUGUAGGACAUAUAAUUCUAAACAAAAUCACUUAGUG
Pelobates cultripes (western spadefoot toad) is the source of this 222-nucleotide non-coding RNA. NCBI's taxonomy places the organism in Eukaryota, Metazoa, Chordata, Amphibia, Anura, Pelobatidae. The record is from the annotation of a GenBank genome assembly.